GAUUCGUGAUUUGCAGUUGCAGAUAGAAUUUCCACUUUCCCGAAGUGCCCCCAUAUCUUUCAAAGAAUUUCGACGCCAUCGAAAUUUUGGCACUGCCAAAGCAGUAGACCCACACGAGUCGGCAUUUCCCCCUCCUGAGAACGAACGCACAGAACAUAGUGGGAGCGAGGGCGCAUCAAAAUCAGGUUAUGCCCGAGGAAUCCAGCGGUUCUUCGAGCUGAGGUUUUGAGAAAUUCGUCCGCUUUAGAGGUUUUCGCCUUAAUUAGGGUUUGAGGGGCUGAAUCAAUCAUUAUUAUUAUUGUUUUUUUUGGGUUUAAGACGCCAUACAAGCGGAGCUUUGGCUGCGAGGUCCUGUGUAAAUACGUUUUUAGCUUUAGGAUUUUCUGGAGGAAUAUACUGUCUUGGGGAGGGCUUUGGAUUGGAGUAGUARCAGUUAAUAAUGUUAUAGAGGCCUGAUCCUCUGAAUUAGGGUUUCCGGCGCUUAAUCAAUCUCUGGAGAGGUGUUAUGUGAGUGKACCUAGUGGCUGGCUGUUGUGGCCUGUAGAAGGGGAAUGGGGAGCACAGUCGAUUCAGAUAGAAAGCGGCGUCACUUUAGCACCAUAUCCCCAACGGCUGCUACUGCCAAGAAGCAGCCCUUCUUGCCCAUUUCAGAGGACAAAAAGCUUGAUGUUGCUGUUCUACAAUUCCAAAAUCAGAAGCUCAUACAGAAGUUAGAGGCUCAGAAGGUAGAGUACAAAUCUCUACAGAAUAAACAUGUUCAGUUGAAGGAGAAACAAGAGCCAUAUGAUAUGACAGUGGCCGUGGUUAAAAACUGUUGGGAAGAGCUUGUUAGUGGAUUGGAAACAUCUUCUGUCCGMUUGAGGAGGUGGAGGAGCAAGCAGGAUAGCGAACAUACAAUGGCUGCUGCAGAUGGAUCUUCGUCUAGCUUUGAAGAUGCUGUCCUCAGUCGGCUUGCAGAAACAGGUGCUACUCAAAGUUCCUCAACAUAUGGUUCCUCUAAGCAAAUGGAAGAAGAAACAGAAUCACCAUGUGAGAAGACCAAAACCAUUGAGCGAAAUAUAGAAACUUCAAUUGAAAAUCUCUGGUAUCUGAAGGAUGGUUUACAUGCUGCAUUGUUGAAUGAGCUCCCAGAAGAUGAUUCAUUCAGGAAUAGGACAUCUGGUGACUUGGUUAAAGAAGUAAGGAAUAUGAGGUUGAGAGUAAAGGAUUUUUUGUUAAAGCAAAAGAUGUUGGCUAAAGAACUGCAGAAUCAUCGGGACUUGGAUGCAAAGACUAAAGCUCAGCUAAAAGUUUUAAAAGUGGAAUUGGAGAGUGCAAUGGCUGAACUGGAAGAGAGCAAUUCGAAGGUAACGAAGCUUAGAGCUGAACAUGAUGCGGCAAAAAGGGCUGGAUUUCCUGUUUUGAAUCUAGGAGGUAAACAAUCUGGCAGUGGUAAGGUAAGAGAUAAACAAAAAGAUCUGCGAGAUAUGGAGUCUUCUCUCAAAGAUUUGAAGGACCAAGCAGCUGGUCGACUGGCAGAAUUAAACAGUCUACAUGAAGGACGGAUAAAAAUGCUGCAACAAUUAUCUGAUAUCCGGAAUACAAUGAAGAGUGUGAAGUCCAUUCCAUCUUCACAAUCAUAUCUUUUGUUGAGAGAUCGAAUUGAGAAAUUAAAAUCGGACGUUUAUGAGCAGCAGGCUUUAUUUGAGAAACUACAGGUUGAGAAGGAUAAUGUUAUAUGGAGGGAGAAGGAAUUGAAUAUUAAAAACAACAUACUGGAUAUCUUGAGAAGAUCAUCUACUGUCUCUGAUACUAGGAUUAAUGAUCUGGGAAUGCUGAUUCAGAAACAUAAGGAUGAAAAGAAGUCUAUUGAGAACAAGCUGGCUGAAGUAUUGAAAGAACCAGGAAGGAAAAAAAUUGUCUCGGAAUUUAGAGCACUGGUUUCUUCAUUUCCGGAAGCAAUGGGCUCUAUGCAAAGUCAGUUACAUAAAUACAAAGAAGCUGCUUCAGAUGUUCAUUCUGUGCAGGCUGACGUGCAAUCCCUUUCUAGUGUUAUUGAUAGAAUGGAGAAAGAGUGUGAAAUCUUAUCAUCUAGAUCCAAGGAUCAAAUUGCAGAGAUACAGAAGUUGCAAGAUACGGCUCGAGAUUUAACAGAUGUUAAUCGAGAGUUGAAACUCAUAAUUGAGAUGUAUAGGCGUGAAUCAACUGAAUCAAGGGAAGUCUUGGAAGCUAGGGAUUUGGAAUACAAGGCGUGGGCUCAUGUUCAAUCUUUAAAGGCCUCUCUUGAUGAACGCAACCUGGAAUCACGUGUUAAGACUGCAAAUGAAGCUGAGGCUAUAUCUCAACAAAGGUUAGCUGCUGCAGAAGCUGAGAUUGCACGGCUAAGACAGAAGUUGGAAGUUUCUAAAAGGGAUUUAUCUAGAUUAUCAGAUGAAUUAAAAUCUAAAGGCGACGAAAAUGUGGCCUACUUGUCUGAAAUUGAGACAAUUGGGCAGGCAUAUGACGAUAUGCAAACUCAAAAUCAGCAUCUGUUACAGCAAAUAACUGAGAGAGAUGACUACAACAUUAAGCUUGUUUUAGAAGGUGUGAGAGCAAGGCAGUUGCAGGAGAUUAUGCUCAUUGAGAAGCAGACCUUGGAGAAGGAGAUUCAGCAUGCCAAUGCAUCUCUUGUACUUUACGAGAUGAAAGCUGCUAGAAUUGAAGACCAGUUGAGAGGUUGCUCGGAUCAUAAUCAGAAAAUUGAAGACGACAAGUUACAAGAGACAGUUGCUCUGGAAAGCACUCAAAAAAGAUUACUGGAUAUUAGAAUAGCAUCUCAGCAAACAAGUGAGUUACUUGAUGAAGUGCAAUCUAAGGUUGAGAAAAGUCGAACAGCUCAAGCAGAGCUGCAGAUAGAACUCGAAAAAGAAAGGUUUGAGAAGAAAAGAAUUGAAGAGGAACUAGAAGUUGUUGGCAGAAAGGUUUCUAGGCUUGAAGCACAGAUGGAAAGCUCAUCAGUAGUUGAAAAACUUCAUGAGGAACUUAGGGAAUAUGAAAAGAUAGUGAAUUGCAAAAUUUGUGACAACAGUAGAAAGCAGGUUGUCAUUACGAAGUGCUUCCACUUGUUCUGUAAUUCCUGUGUACAAGAUAUCUUGAAGAGUCAGCAACGCAAAUGCCCAAGAUGUAGUGCAAGUUUCGGGCCCAAUGAUGUCAAACAAGUUUUCUUUUGACUUUAAUCUGGGCAUACGUACUUCUUGAUAAGACUCAACUCAGCCGCCUUUGGUGCACAUUUCAAGUCCAUUUGGUUGAUGCAAGAGUUGACAUGGGGAUACAAACAGGUUUACGUGUAUGACUAUGUUAGAAUGUAGAGGAAACUGUGCGUGAGACGAGAACAAGGAAUAUGGAAUUCCUGCUGCAUAGAAAUUUAAGCAAAUCAUUAGCUUGUUGGCUUGGUUCUAGUUUGUGAUUUAAUUGAAAGUUCAUUAGCGAUGCAUAUUUAUUUUACCUUAUCUUAUGAUGUGCUUGGAGCAACUGGAAGCUUUCAAUUCAUUAUUUGCAGAUUUAUCAGAAGUUUCAGAACUGCUUCGCUGCUAUACUGGCAUGGAUGGACAGACGUUGAAGCAAGAGUUGAGGGUCGCCCGCUUAAUCAGAAGUUUCAGAACUGCCCGCUCAAAACAACUUGUGGAUCGUCAUCACUCCUGCCAUCAGAAAUUUUUGUACUCGACUUGUAGCGGUUGGUUGCUCCACUGGCAAGAAAUGAAGACGGAGCUUACCGUGUUUUCCAUCUUUACGGGCCAAGGAUGAGCAUUAUUACCAAAGCAGUUUUCGACAUUGAAAAAUAGAGCUUUCUUCAUUGGCAUUUCAACCAAUCUGCAAAUUCCAGUUGUCCAGGAUAUUAGUGAUUUACUGAUGUGAGAGUUUUUACAUUUUCUUUGUUCAAACGAUUGACAACUGCUGCUUAGUCAUAAAAGUAUAAAUUUUAAGAUUUUUGAUGCA
This is a non-coding RNA of Momordica charantia (bitter melon), 3954 nucleotides long. The record is from RefSeq and is a predicted model, not a curated record. Lineage: Eukaryota; Viridiplantae; Streptophyta; Magnoliopsida; Cucurbitales; Cucurbitaceae.